AGAGUUUGAUCCUGGCUCAGAAUCAACGCUGGCGGCGUGCCUAACACAUGCAAGUCGAACGAGAAAGGGUAGCAAUACCUGAGUAAAGUGGCGCACGGGUGAGUAACACGUGACUAACCUACCCUUGAGUGGGGAAUAACUUCGGGAAACCGAGGCUAAUACCGCAUAACACCUACGGGUCAAAGGAGCAAUUCGCUUAAGGAGGGGGUCGCGGCAGAUUAGUUAGUUGGCGGGGUAAUGGCCCACCAAGACGGUGAUCUGUAUCCGGCCUGAGAGGGCGCACGGACGCACUGGAACUGAAACACGGUCCAGACUCCUACGGGAGGCAGCAGUGGGGAAUUUUGCGCAAUGGGGGAAACCCUGCACGCAUCAACGUCCGCGUGGAGGAUUAAAUCCACUUGGGGUAAACUCCUUUCGAUCGGGACGAUAAUGACGGUACC
Molecule: ribosomal RNA, 440 nt
Filed under: uncultured bacterium
Lineage: Bacteria
Description: bacterial SSU rRNA
Rfam family: Bacterial small subunit ribosomal RNA
Source: RNAcentral